This 468-nucleotide ribosomal RNA is filed under the name uncultured bacterium. RNAcentral's name for it is "partial 16S ribosomal RNA". It matches the Rfam family "Bacterial small subunit ribosomal RNA", at positions 28 to 507 of the family's 1533-position model. The record is from RNAcentral.
GACGAACGCUGGCGGCGUGCUUAACACAUGCAAGUCGAACGGAAAGGCCCUGCUUUUGUGGGGUGCUCGAGUGGCGAACGGGUGAGUAACACGUGAGUAACCUGCCCUUGACUUUGGGAUAACUUCAGGAAACUGGGGCUAAUACCGGAUAGGAGCUCCUGCUGCAUGGUGUGGGUUGGAAAGUUUCGGCGGUUUGGGUUGGACUCGCGGCUUAUCAGCUUGUUGGUGGGGUUGUGGUUUAGCAAGGCUUGGGCGGGUAGCCAGCCUGAGAGGGUGACCGGCCACAUUGGGCCUGGGAUGCGGCCCAGACUGCUACGGCAGGCAGCGGUGGGAAAUAUUGCGAGCUGGGCGGCAGCCGGAUGCAGCAACGCCGCGUCCGGAAUGACGGCCUUCGGGGUGUAACCCGCGUUCGCCUGUGACGAAGCGAGAGUGACGGUAAUGGGUAAAGAAGCACCGGCUAACUACGUG